Pelobates cultripes (western spadefoot toad) is the source of this 463-nucleotide non-coding RNA. Lineage: Eukaryota; Metazoa; Chordata; Amphibia; Anura; Pelobatidae. The record is from the annotation of a GenBank genome assembly.
GCUCCAUUUUAUAUUUUACAUGGUCCUAAUAGAUUCUGGGUAUGUAACCUCAACAUGCUGUCCUGAAUGUUGUAAUAUUCACAUCUUGUCACAUAUAAAUCAAUUUAAUAAGGGGAUUCCCCAAAGAAACUGGAAGAAUUUAAAUUCACAGUAUAGGAUUUAUUUUUUCCUUACCAAAGAGCAGCAAGCAUAUAAAAAUUUUCUGGAUUUAGGAAAAUAUGACCGAAUUAGCACAUCUAAGUAGAGCCUCAUGUAUUUAUUCAGUAAACUGUUAAAGAAGAUUGGGCAAGGAACUGCAUAUAUUGGGUCUCAUCUACAGCUCAACUAUAUUGGCCAGAAUUGGGUCUAUAUAUUUAAAGUAGUGGUUCCCAAAUUAAUCAUUAUGGCCCACCAACAUUCCAGAUUUUGUUGUCAGUAUCUCUCUUGGAAUAAUGAAGGGAAAUACAUAAAUCCUGGAUUAUUC